GACUCUCGGCAACGGAUAUCUUGGCUCUCGCAUCGAUGAAGAACGUAGCGAAAUGCGAUACUUGGUGUGAAUUGCAGAAUCCCGUGAACCAUCGAGUCUUUGAACGCAAGUUGCGCCCGAGGCUAUCCGGCCGAGGGCACGCCUGCCUGGGCGUCACGCCUCGCGUCGCUCCG
This 173-nucleotide ribosomal RNA is filed under the name Ophiopogon angustifoliatus. Its description in RNAcentral is "Ophiopogon bockianus var. angustifoliatus 5.8S ribosomal RNA". It matches the Rfam family "5.8S ribosomal RNA". From Rfam's summary of the family: 5.8S ribosomal RNA (5.8S rRNA) is a component of the large subunit of the eukaryotic ribosome. It is transcribed by RNA polymerase I as part of the 45S precursor that also contains 18S and 28S rRNA. The record is from RNAcentral. RNAcentral also lists the same sequence under 1 other name. Lineage: Eukaryota; Viridiplantae; Streptophyta; Magnoliopsida; Asparagales; Asparagaceae.